Long non-coding RNA from Homo sapiens (human), 1208 nucleotides. RefSeq annotates it as SOAT2 antisense RNA 1. The transcript has 3 exons. NCBI's taxonomy places the organism in Eukaryota, Metazoa, Chordata, Mammalia, Primates, Hominidae. The record is from RefSeq and is a predicted model, not a curated record.
CUGCGUCCAGGUGCCCCUGGCCCACAGCCGUAGGGCCUGGUACGGCGCCAACAGGGUGGACAGAAACAUGGGCACCCAGGUCACCAGCGCCAAUGGCAGCUGUCCGAAGCUGAAGAUCAGUAGGUCAAACUCCAGCAGCAGCCUUGGAGUGGGGAAGGAGAGACAAAGUAGACAAGUGAAGCCCAUUCUUGUCCCCUUCCUCUUCAGUCUGAGCUCCUGGAAGAUGAACUGAGUUCAUCUGCAUCUCGUUACUGGGCCUCAAGAAAUAGCAGCCCAACCUUCAGUUUGACCUGGGAACAAAACGUGGCAAGCCAGCCAGGAGAGACCGGGAUGGUGCUGUGUUCAGCCACCAGUGGCUUGCGAUGAGACAGUCUUCAGGAGGGUCCAAGCAGCUGCCCGUGAGAUUUUUCCUGGGGACCCUCCCGAGGGCUGUCCCGUGUGCAAAACUGCACGUCCCUUUCACUACUGGGGAAGAACAGAGAUCAGAAGCAGACACGCUCAAAGGGUGCUGCCUCCAAGGCCCCGAAACAGAGAGUGCUACUGCGAACAAAUCAACCUCUUCCACUCCACUGCUGCUUUUGGUGCCCCAUAACGACGACCCCCUCUCAGCAGGAAGUAGCCAGAAAGAUUACGACUCCCCAUCUCCCUGCGAUUCUCAUGAUAAAUAAAUAUCCAUGCAUGAUAAAAAUCGUGUAAAUUGACAGUGGGGACUGUGACAAGCAGGUCUCACUAAUGCAGACCUCCAUAACAACUGUUUCAGUACUGACUGAGUGGUUAAGUUAAAUGUUAAAAACCAGUGCCCUUAUACAAAGGCUGGAAUGUAACAAAAGCCCACCAAGAGUUUUGCCUAGGCCUUUCCUGAACCUCAAAGCAUGAUUAAACAAGUUUUGCUGGGGGUCUGAAGAAACUCCCCAAACCUCCGUUAUUUAGCAGGAGAUAAGAGAAGGGUAAUCACCCCAGCACUUGGACCCAUUUAGAUUAAGUAAACUUACUGAGGCUCCAGAAGAAGGUCUUCAAGACUCAGACCUUAGUUAUAGAUUAAAAGAAGUUAAUCACUUAUGUCUUUAGAUGAAUGCACACCUACACAUAGAUGUAGAGCUUAGAAGGUAUAUAUGCUCUGGAAAUUGUAAUUUUUAGUUGGCCUGGUGAUAAUUUCCAGGCCUUCUCCCUGUAACUGGUUACAGAAAUAAAAACUCACUUCCUCCCCA